Molecule: small RNA, 161 nt
Filed under: Gopherus agassizii (Agassiz's desert tortoise)
Lineage: Eukaryota; Metazoa; Chordata; Testudines; Testudinidae
Description: TUC338 (ENSGAGG00000023867.1)
Source: RNAcentral
UUCACAGUCCUGGAGACUGUAGUCCUCUGUUAAUCCACACAACAGUUACAGCACAGGCAUUGGCAGCACUAGCUUUCCAUCAAUGUGCUCCAGCUCUGACUUGGAAGUCAUACACAGGAGAGGAUGGUUCAGUCUCUGUGCCCAUUACUACCCUGGUGUGU